Molecule: long non-coding RNA, 2055 nt
Filed under: Gossypium barbadense (sea-island cotton)
Lineage: Eukaryota; Viridiplantae; Streptophyta; Magnoliopsida; Malvales; Malvaceae
Description: long non-coding RNA (GBAR_LNC020847)
Source: RNAcentral
UUUCAAUUCUUUUCUUAUAGAGUCGUUUCUCCUGCCUCUCUCUACCCUUUCACCUCCUACUACCAGAACAUUCUCUCCUCCCAUGGUUUCUCUGCAACCUAAAACUAUGAGACGGACAGGCUUUCAUGUUCUCCCAAGAACUAGACAAGGUUUGUUGCUUUCUUGCUGCCAUUUUGGUUUUCUUAUUUAUUUUGGAUUAUGAGUGAUUUUAGAGUGUAGCAUUGUUGUUCUUGGAUUUUGGGUUUGUGUUUUUUUUUUCAAUUUGCUGUUCUUGGUUCUAUUUCAUAGUUUUUAUGUGAAAUUUAGACAGCUAGUGGGCCAUUUAGCAUGUUGAGGAGUUUUCUUCAGCUUUAAUUUCAAUAAAAAUUAAUUGUUCCAUUUGCGAUGAGACGUGGAACUAAGACCUGUUUCUUUCAGGGUUGUGAUCCUUUUGCCAUGAGAGGUGAAAAAAACAAGGCAGAUAAAACCCCGAUUCUUCCACUCGAGAAAUCUGCGAAAACUCUGAGGCUGCCAAUGGCAGUGUUGUUCAUAUCCAUGCGGUUUGUCACCAAGAACAAAACAUAGACCCCAGAAAGCUUAAACGGCCAGAUCUUUUCUCUCUUCUUUUCUUUAACCUACCUAUAUACUUCCUUUUCUUUUCCAUGUCACAGAGAUGUUGUGUAGGCCAUUUCAAAUCGUUUCUCUGCUCAGAAAUUAAUAGUCAGGAAGCAUCAACAUCUUUGUGAUAUGGAAAAGAAGAUGAAGGAGUAUUUAAAUUUAAUUUCAAAAGAAGAGAGAGAGUAAAUAGAUCAAUAGUUUAAAAGCAUUUAAUUGAUGCUGCAGGAAGGGAGUUACCUUUUUCUUCAUCCAAUCUAAGGCAAUAAGGUAAUUGUUCGAUUUAUAUAAUUAUACUUCAGUUUGGUGUUGGUAAUGGUAAUGAUGACAACUAAAAAGAUUGUUAUUUUUUUAAAAUUCAGAGGUGGUGACCCAAUGAUAAUGGAGUCACCAACGUUUACUAGUCAAAAUAUGCAUAAUUUUUAAAAUAGAUCAUUUUUGUAUAUAAUCAAAAGUUUUGGGUUAUUUUUAUAAAAAAACCCAAUUCCAUCAUUCAAUUGAUAGAAAACUACAAAAACAGGUAUUGAUUAAAAUUCAAUUCGAUUAUGUUUAAAUUGCCUUGUAAUUCUUCAAUAUGUAAUGUUGCUUUCAAAUAGCUUAAACAGAGGGGAUUAUGGCUAGUUAGAGAGACAAGGUAAAUGUUUAGAAUUCGAUAUGUUUUAUUUUUAAUGGCAUGUAUGUACCAUAUUAUUAUUAUUUUUUAAAUAUGUAAAAGAUACAUACUAUAGGUAGGAAGUUGGAACCCAUCGUGUUGAGUAUUUUCUAUUUGUAUAUAUCCGUAUAUAUACAUUAUGUGUUAUUCAUUUAAAGUUUGUUUAGUGUAUUGAUAUCUUCAAUCUGAGAGGCGAUGUAUUACAUGCACGACCAGGUUGGUAAUGUUGAAACUUUUUGAAAAAUAUGGUGUUGCUUCUUUGAAAAAUGGUAUGGGAAUCUGAAAUCAAUAUUGGUAUGUCAUGCAUGACUUGUCCAUGUCCACUUCUUCACCUACCAUAAGAAGUUACCGAGCUAGAAAUGGGUGGAUUGCUACACAAGGCAUCAACAAUUCAUAAGUGAACUCCGAGAAGCAUGGUUUUUAUAUUAAUUUGAGUUGGACCGGUUAGGAUGUUUAUCACAGAAUGAAGACACAUUGCUUAAGGAAACCAAAUUAUAUCUCUCAUGUUUCAUAUGAACAAGCUUUUGCCUAGAAAGUCCUUGAGUCCACUGGCAUUGCUUCAGGGGCUGUAUUUAUUUUUGUCGUUUUAGCCAUGGUAAACAUAAAAACCAGAGUUAGCCUGAGUAGUUUACGUCUUACUUUUUUUUUUUCAUUGCUUGUUUAUGUGUCAAUUAAAAAAAAAACAGCAUGCACAUGUCAUUGAAUAGAACUAUACAUAUAAGCAUGUGCCUUGUUUAUAUAUUAAGUAGUUUUUAUACCCGAAUAUGGUGUACAUAAUAUGUAAAGUUAUAUUUAUUAAUUAGAUUUAG